AGAGUUUGAUUCUGGCUGACGAUGAACGCUAGCUACAGGCUUAACACAUGCCAGUCGAGGGGAAACGAUAGAGAAAGCUUGCUUUUUCUAGGCGUCGACCGGCGCACGGGUGAGUAACGCGUAUCCAACCUGCCCACCACUUGGGGAUAACCUUGCGAAAGUAAGACUAAUACCCAAUGACGUCCAUAGAAGACAUCUGAAAUGGAUUAAAGAUUUAUCGGUGAUGGAUGGGGAUGCGUCUGAUUAGCUUGUUGGCGGGGUAACGGCCCACCAAAGGCGACGAUCAGUAGGGGUUCUGAGAGGAAGGUCCCCCACAUUGGAACUGAGACACGGUCCAAACUCCUACGGGAGGCAGCAGUGAGGAAUAUUGGUCAAUGGGCGAGAGCCUGAACCAGCCAAGUAGCGUGCAGGAUGACGGCCCUAUGGGUUGUAAACUGCUUUUAUAAGGGAAUAAAGUGAGUCUCGUGAGGCUUUUUGCAUGUACCUUAUGAAUAAGGACCGGCUAAUUCCGUGCCAGCAGCCGCGGUAAUACGGAAGGUCUGGGCGUUAUCCGGAUUUAUUGGGUUUAAAGGGAGCGUAGGCCGGAGAUUAAGCGUGUUGUGAAAUGUAGACGCUCAACGUCUGCACUGCAGCGCGAACUGGUUUCCUUGAGUACACACAAAGUGGGCGGAAUUCGUGGUGUAGCGGUGAAAUGCUUAGAUAUCACGAAGAACUCCGAUUGCGAAGGCAGCUCACUGGAGCGCAACUGACGCUGAAGCUCGAAAGUGCGGGUAUCGAACAGGAUUAGAUACCCUGGUAGUCCGCACGGUAA
Molecule: ribosomal RNA, 811 nt
Filed under: uncultured bacterium
Lineage: Bacteria
Description: bacterial SSU rRNA
Rfam family: Bacterial small subunit ribosomal RNA
Source: RNAcentral